AUACGUAGGGGGCGAGCGUUGUCCGGAAUGAUUGGGCGUAAAGGGCGCGUAGGCGGCCCGGUAAGUCUGGAGUGAAAGUCCUGUUUUUAAGAUGGGAAUUGCUUUGGAUACUGUCGGGCUUGAGUGCAGGAGAGGUAAGUGGAAUUCCCAGUGUAGCGGUGAAAUGCGUAGAGAUUGGGAGGAACACCAGUGGCGAAGGCGACUUACUGGACUGUAACUGACGCUGAGGCGCGAAAGUGUGGGGAGCAAACAGGAUUAGAUACCCUGGUAGUCCACACUGUAAACGAUGAAUGCUAGGCGUAGGGGGUAUCGACCCCUUCUGUGCCGCAGUCAUCACAAUAAGCAUUCCGCCUGGGGAGUACGGCCGCAAGGUUGAAACUUAAAGGAAUUGACGGGG
This 397-nucleotide ribosomal RNA is filed under the name uncultured bacterium. RNAcentral describes it as "partial 16S ribosomal RNA". It matches the Rfam family "Bacterial small subunit ribosomal RNA", at positions 523 to 918 of the family's 1533-position model. The record is from RNAcentral.